Long non-coding RNA from Coturnix japonica (Japanese quail), 1056 nucleotides. The record is from Ensembl. Lineage: Eukaryota; Metazoa; Chordata; Aves; Galliformes; Phasianidae.
CAAAGCAAUUAGGGGCAGAAUACGUAGCUGUAAUGCACGGGUUAAAAUACAAGUUUUAGAAAUUCCAGCUCGAAAUUUUCUAGGUCUGUAAUAAUAACUCUGGAAAGUAUUAAAAUACAUUUUUAAUGAAUAUAAUCCUCCAAUUACUGACAUGUGCUUCACUGGGUGUCAUAUAGAAAAUUUUUAUCUUUUCGCCUCUCUCUUUUUCCUUCCUCCCAGGCUUCCUUUGCCUGGGAAUAUUUAAAAUUCAUUAUUCCACGCUGCAAGAAAUGAAAUAAAUACGACUGAGUAAAGCAGCCAGCAAAACCAGAAGGUGGACAGAUAAACUCCAAGUGCUUUAUCAUGAAUUCUGACCCUGACGUUUUGCCUGGGUCUGUGUAUGUACCUCCAGUGAAACCCCUCAUCAGGAUAAGGCUGUGUUCCCCAUGGACCUCUGCUUCAAGAGCAUCCCCAUGGCAAGAAAAGAGGGGACUUGCCUGUACCCUCUGUCUGCUGCCCUCCUUUCAUCCUUCUGGAUUGUACUCCUCUGUUUUCACUCUUUUUCUUCCAUUUAUGCUCUUACAUUGGAAAACAGAUACAACAGUCAUAAAAAAAAACAAUAGUACAAAAGAAAUAAAAGCCACAACAAUAAAAGUUGAGAGAAAAGGAAUUCCUGUUAACAUCUACCAAGGGAGAGUCCGCCUGCAGGGAAGGAAGCAGAGGAAGACAUUCAGAAGGAAGGCAACCUCCCAAGCCAUGAAAAUUCAUUUUGUAUCUCGAUGCGAUAGUCUUUUUAUCCUCAGAGCCCUAUUUGACUUUUCUUUCUUCUUUCUUCUUCAUAUCCUCAUGCCAGCCUUUUCUCCUUGCUGCUCCUUUUGGUUGAAGGUUGUAUGAGGAGCUUUUGUGUUACUACCUGAGCAAAGAAUAAGGUGCUACCUUGUUGUUUAAGUGGUCAGUGAAAUGAAUGGCUUCUGAAGCUCAGUGCCAAGUUCCCAGGUUCAUUCUAAUUACACAUUUAAAGUAACCGAAAGGAAGGAUCCCUACUAAGGUUGGCUUCAUCAAAAUGGAACGGUCCUA